Molecule: ribosomal RNA, 708 nt
Filed under: uncultured bacterium
Lineage: Bacteria
Description: bacterial SSU rRNA
Rfam family: Bacterial small subunit ribosomal RNA
Source: RNAcentral
UGCCUCAAAGAGGGGGACAACAGUUGGAAACGACUGCUAAUACCGCAUAAGCCCACGGCUCGGCAUCGAGCAGAGGGAAAAGGAGCAAUCCGCUUUGAGAUGGCCUCGCGUCCGAUUAGCUAGUUGGUGAGGUAACGGCCCACCAAGGCGACGAUCGGUAGCCGGACUGAGAGGUUGAACGGCCACAUUGGGACUGAGACACGGCCCAGACUCCUACGGGAGGCAGCAGUGGGGAAUAUUGCACAAUGGGGGAAACCCUGAUGCAGCGACGCCGCGUGGAGGAAGAAGGUCUUCGGAUUGUAAACUCCUGUUGCUGGGGAAGAUAAUGACGGUACCCAACAAGGAAGUGACGGCUAACUACGUGCCAGCAGCCGCGGUAAAACGUAGGUCACAAGCGUUGUCCGGAAUUACUGGGUGUAAAGGGAGCGCAGGCGGGAAGACAAGUUGGAAGUGAAAUCUAUGGGCUCAACCCAUAAACUGCUUUCAAAACUGUUUUUCUUGAGUAGUGCAGAGGUAGGCGGAAUUCCCGGUGUAGCGGUGGAAUGCGUAGAUAUCGGGAGGAACACCAGUGGCGAAGGCGGCCUACUGGGCACCAACUGACGCUGAGGCUCGAAAGUGUGGGUAGCAAACAGGAUUAGAUACCCUGGUAGUCCACACCGUAAACGAUGAUUACUAGGUGUUGGAGGAUUGACCCCUUCAGUGCCGCAG